GGGAUCGCCGGGCGCUACCUGACAGGGCAGCAGCCAGAGUUCCGGAUCAUCUGCAUGGCCCUUCAGGACAUGACGGAUGACACCAGCCCUACCGUCUCAUGCCUGGCACUUCAAACUCUGUACAUCAAUUUAGCUGUACAGAGCAUUCCCUCCUCCCGACUCCAGAAGAUGCGAGACCAACUCCGCCAGCUCUGGAAGUCGCGGCCUUUCCUGUUUCACCGUGGCUGAGUGUCCUGCUGCGGCGCCGUGGAGAAGUGAUCCGGGAGGCUGCGUCUGCUGGGGCCACCUGAACCUGCGGGGAACACCUCUCCUCUGCAAGCACUUCCUUUCCCACCCUCUAUAGGAACAUUAAAUUGCUGUUGUCAUA
This is a long non-coding RNA of Haemorhous mexicanus (house finch), 367 nucleotides long. RefSeq lists it as uncharacterized. The transcript is spliced from 2 exons. The record is from RefSeq and is a predicted model, not a curated record. Lineage: Eukaryota; Metazoa; Chordata; Aves; Passeriformes; Fringillidae.